UACGUAGGGGGCAAGCGUUAUCCGGAUUUACUGGGUGUAAAGGGAGCGUAGACGGUUAAUCAAGUCAGAAGUGAAAACCCAGGGCUCAACCUUGGGAAUGCUUUUGAAACUGAGUAGCUAGAGUGCAGGAGAGGUAAGCGGAAUUCCUAGUGUAGCGGUGAAAUGCGUAGAUAUUAGGAGGAACACCAGUGGCGAAGGCGGCUUACUGGACUGUAACUGACGUUGAGGCUCGAAAGCGUGGGGAGCAAACAGG
Molecule: ribosomal RNA, 253 nt
Filed under: uncultured bacterium
Lineage: Bacteria
Description: partial 16S ribosomal RNA
Rfam family: Bacterial small subunit ribosomal RNA
Source: RNAcentral